CAGCCGCCGCGGGAAUACGUAGGGUGCAAGCGUUGUCCGGAAUUAUUGGGCGUAAAGAGCUCGUAGGCGGCUCGUCGCGUCGGCUGUGAAAACCUAGGGCUCAACCCUGGGCUUGCAGCCGAUACGGGCGAGCUAGAAUUCGGUAGGGGAGACUGGAAUUCCUGGUGUAGCGGUGAAAUGCGCAGAUAUCAGGAGGAACACCGGUGGCGAAGGCGGGUCCCUGGGCCGAUAUUGACGCUGAGGAGCGAAAGCGUGGGGAGCAAACAGGAUUAGAUACCCCCGUAGUCCCUGUCUCUUAUAA
RNAcentral lists this ribosomal RNA (301 nucleotides) under uncultured bacterium. Its description in RNAcentral is "partial 16S ribosomal RNA". It matches the Rfam family "Bacterial small subunit ribosomal RNA", at positions 509 to 809 of the family's 1533-position model. The record is from RNAcentral.